RNAcentral lists this ribosomal RNA (476 nucleotides) under uncultured Diversispora. RNAcentral describes it as "SSU rRNA". It matches the Rfam family "Eukaryotic small subunit ribosomal RNA", at positions 569 to 1046 of the family's 1831-position model. Lineage: Eukaryota; Fungi; Glomeromycota; Glomeromycetes; Diversisporales; Diversisporaceae. The record is from RNAcentral.
AGCAGCCGCGGUAAUUCCAGCUCCAAUAGCGUAUAUUAAAGUUGUUGCAGUUAAAAAGCUCGUAGUUGAACUUCGGGGUCUACCCAUUGGUCAGGCUUAAUUGUCUGCACUGGUGAGAUGGAUCUCUACCUUCUGAGGAACUUUCAUGCCAUUUAUUUGGUGUGGUUGGAAAUCAGGACUGUUACUUUGAAAAAAUUAGAGUGUUUAAAGCAGACUAUCGUCUGAAUACAUUAGCAUGGAAUAAUGAAAUAGGACGGACUGAUUCUAUUUCGUUGGUUUCUAGGAUCACCGUAAUGAUUAAUAGGGACAGUUGGGGGCAUUAGUAUUCAAUUGUCAGAGGUGAAAUUCUUGGAUUUAUUGAAGACUAACUACUGCGAAAGCAAUUUGCCAAGGAUGUUUUCAUUAAUCAAGAACGAAAGUUAGGGGAUCGAAGACGAUCAGAUACCGUCGUAGUCUUAACCAUAAACUAUGCCGAC